UGGGGAAUAUUGGACAAUGGGGGCAACCCUGAUCCAGCGAUGCCGCGUGGGUGAAGAAGGCCUUCGGGUUGUAAAGCCCUUUAGGUUGGGAAGAAGGGUGUUUGGUGAAUAGCCAAGCAUUUUGACGGUACCGACAGAAUAAGCACCGGCAAACUCUGUGCCAGCAGCCGCGGUAAUACAGAGGGUGCGAGCGUUAAUCGGAAUUACUGGGCGUAAAGGGCGCGUAGGCGGUAAUGUGAGUGUGAUGUGAAAGCCCUGGGCUUAACCUAGGAAGUGCAUUGCAAACGACAUAACUGGAGUAUAAGAGAGGGUGGCGGAAUUUCCGGUGUAGCGGUGAAAUGCGUAGAGAUCGGAAGGAACGUCAAUGGCGAAGGCAGCCACCUGGCUUAAUACUGACGCUGAGGCGCGAAAGCGUGGGGAUCGAACAG
Molecule: ribosomal RNA, 428 nt
Filed under: uncultured bacterium
Lineage: Bacteria
Description: bacterial SSU rRNA
Rfam family: Bacterial small subunit ribosomal RNA
Source: RNAcentral